UACGUAGGGUGCGAGCGUUAAUCGGAAUUACUGGGCGUAAAGCGUGCGCAGGCGGCUUUGCAAGACAGAUGUGAAAUCCCCGGGCUCAACCUGGGAACUGCAUUUGUGACUGCAAGGCUAGAGUACGGCAGAGGGGGAUGGAAUUCCGCGUGUAGCAGUGAAAUGCGUAGAUAUGCGGAGGAACACCAAUGGCGAAGGCAAUCCCCUGGGCCUGUACUGACUCUCAUGCACGAAAGCGUGGGGAGCAAACAGG
Molecule: ribosomal RNA, 253 nt
Filed under: uncultured bacterium
Lineage: Bacteria
Description: partial 16S ribosomal RNA
Rfam family: Bacterial small subunit ribosomal RNA
Source: RNAcentral